Molecule: long non-coding RNA, 1006 nt
Filed under: Pseudonaja textilis
Lineage: Eukaryota; Metazoa; Chordata; Lepidosauria; Squamata; Elapidae
Description: lncRNA (ENSPTXG00000009416.1)
Source: RNAcentral
ACAGAGAAAAAACAAUGUAAUUCAAUAACAUGAAUAUGGUCAUAGUAACAUUAAAAUAGGGUAUUUUAAUGAUAAGAUAUUGGGUUGCCUGAAUUUAUAGAGUACAAUGUUUGUUUUCUAGAAUUACUAUGCAAUUUUGUUAACCAUGAAUUUAAAGUGUAUAUUUUUAUCUAUUGCAAUAUUUCAUAAACAUAUAAAAUGUAUCAUUUUCAUUACCUAUUUUUCUUGAGAUGGAAUCAAUUACCAUAUUUUUCACAGAAGAAUCAUCUGGAAUAGUGCGGAUUUGAAAAAUGCAACCAUUUUGUGAGAUUAAUUAAUCAAAUCAAGCCCUACCAAUAUAUUAAUAAUAGAAUUUUUAACAAUGUGAUUCAAAGCAGUAUAAAUGGAAGUUAUCUCUUUAUUUCAUCAGAUUUGUAGUAAGUAAAACUAGGCAGCAUGACUGCCAAAUCAGCAGAAAGCUCUUUGGUUGACUGAGAAAUUCAAAGCAAGAGUCCUUCCUUGAGACUUGUUAACAUUUUAACCACUGUAAUUCAUGGGCAUGCUUAACCACCUUUAUUUCUAGAGUUGUCCAACAAUUUUGUCCAUGAAAAAAAAAUAUGUGGGCUGUUUAGAAGGCAGGAGACAAAACCUCUUCCUAUUUGCAAACAAGUAGUUCCACAGUGUUAUUUGAACUACUUUAAUUGUAUCCAUUGGAUUCACCAGACCCCAGAACUAAUCUUGUUCUUCUCUUCUAGGGGGGCUUUUAGGAGUCUUAAAUAAAUCUGUGGUGGCGGAUGAUAAAAGAAAGGCACACAUGAAUAUACUACUAUUAGGAUAAUAAGUGUAAAAUUUCUGCAAAAGGCAUUUUGUUGCGCACGACAAUAAAGAUAUGGAGCACACCAUGUGGGGAAAAAUUGUAGCAGUUUUCAAAAAUAUUUUUGCAAAUGCAACAGCCUCUGACAAGAUAAAUUAGCAAAGCAGACAAAGAAAAAUGACUAUAUUCACUGCAAAUCACUAUAUGCUUCUU